RNAcentral lists this ribosomal RNA (253 nucleotides) under uncultured bacterium. Its description in RNAcentral is "partial 16S ribosomal RNA". It matches the Rfam family "Bacterial small subunit ribosomal RNA", at positions 524 to 776 of the family's 1533-position model. The record is from RNAcentral.
UACGUAGGAUGCAAGCGUUAUCCGGAAUUAUUGGGCGUAAAGCGAACGUAGGCGGUUGCUUAAGUUUGGGGUUAAAGACCAAGGCUCAACCUUGGGAGUGCCCUGAAUACUGGGCAGCUGGAGGACGGCAGAGGAAAGUGGAAUUCCCAGUGUAGCGGUGAAAUGCGUAGAUAUUGGGAGGAACACCAGUGGCGAAAGCGACUUUCUGGGCCGUUCCUGACGCUGAGGUUCGAAAGCCAGGGGAGCAAACGGG